AGAAGGAGGCCAGGAGUUGUGAGUUUCCAAGCCCCAGCUCACUCUGACCACUUCUCUGCCUGCCCAGCAUCAUGAAGGGCCUUGCAGCUGCCCUCCUUGUCCUCGUCUGCACCAUGGCCCUCUGCUCCUGUGCACAAGUUGGUACCAACAAAGAGCUCUGCUGCCUCGUCUAUACCUCCUGGCAGAUUCCACAAAAGUUCAUAGUUGACUAUUCUGAAACCAGCCCCCAGUGCCCCAAGCCAGGUGUCAUCCUCCUAACCAAGAGAGGCCGGCAGAUCUGUGCUGACCCCAAUAAGAAGUGGGUCCAGAAAUACAUCAGCGACCUGAAGCUGAAUGCCUGAGGGGCCUGGAAGCUGCGAGGGCCCAGUGAACUUGGUGGGCCCAGGAGGGAACAGGAGCCUGAGCCAGGGCAAUGGCCCUGCCACCCUGGAGGCUACCUCUUCUAAGAGUCCCAUCUGCUAUGCCCAGCCACAUUAACUAACUUUAAUCUUAGUUUAUGCAUCAUAUUUCAUUUUGAAAUUGAUUUCUAUUGUUGAGCUGCAUUAUGAAAUUAGUAUUUUCUCUGACAUCUCAUGACAUUGUCUUUAUCAUCCUUUCCCCUUUCCCUUCAACUCUUCGUACAUUCAAUGCAUGGAUCAAUCAGUGUGAUUAGCUUUCUCAGCAGACAUUGUGCCAUAUGUAUCAAAUGACAAAUCUUUAUUGAAUGGUUUUGCUCAGCACCACCUUUUAAUAUAUUGGCAGUACUUAUUAUAUAAAAGGUAAACCAGCAUUCUCACUGUGACGACUCUGUUGAUUUUGUUUCACUAAUCGGAAUCACAGACUGAGAGGAAUUCUGGGGGAGGAGUAGGGAAAUAUGAAAAGGGGCAGAAACAGCAAGAUAGGGACCAAGUACUUCUACAGUCAUACCAGACAUUUCCCUGGAGAUACUUUCCUGAAAAGUUGAAACAGACACCAUUAGUUUAUAAACCAUAUUGUAACUGAAAUGUGAUAGAAAAAUUUUCUACUUAAAUGAAUAUCAAGAUGACGCUGCAAUGCAUAUUUACGCACACAAGCUCAUUUUCAUAAAUGAAGCUUUCCUCAGAAUGAUGGCUAACAUCUGUUGAGGUCUUACCAAGUGCUGGGUUUUGGGCUAAGUACUUAUAUUAGUAAAAGUCUAGCAAAUACUGCCCAUAGUCUAGCAAGGACUCCUUACCUGGAAGUUGCUGAAAGCCUUGGUAAUGUUAUCUUUGUUCUCCACUCUGCUUUUGGGGAGGAUGUUUUCCAUGACUAUACGAGAUGAGGCUUGGGGCUGGGUGGCCAGAGUUAGCAAAUAAAAAUACAGAAUGGAUACUAUUUUAGUGUAAGUAUAUCCCAUGCAAUAUUUGGGACCUACUUGUACCAAAAAUGAUUUGUUCUUUUUCUGAAACUCGAAUUUAACAGGGUAUCCUAAAUUGUAUCUGGCAACCCUCUGAAGAAGGAAUACUGCUUAUAGAGGUGUCUGUUUCCUGUUGGAGAUGUCUGUUGAUUUUGGCUUAAGUGUAGAACAGGGCUUUGGCUUAAGUGUAGAACAGGGCUUUGGCUUAAGUGUGGAACACGGCUUCUCAACCUUGAAUUCACAUUAGAAUCACUUAGGAGAGCUUUUAAAAAUUCUAAUGCCAGGUCCUCACCUCCAAAGUUAUGAAUUUAAUUGGAUUGAUGUGGGGGCCUGGCAUCAGUAAUUUAAAAACUCCCCAGGGGAUGUUAAUGCACAGCCAAGUUUGAGAACCACUGUUGGUGUGGGGUCACAGGCUGUUUUUAACCAGCAUUAAGGUUUCAGAGGCACUGCAACUCCGUUCUAAUUUUUGAAGGCAUCUGAUCUAGUUAUUUUUGGUUCAUUCCAUUGGAUGGUUAAUCAUAAGCAGAAAAUCUAUCAGAUACAGUUAUUUCUAGAACUGGGUUUUUAACACGUCUCUUCCAGCACAGCACUGGGAGCUCUGUGGUCAUCCCUUCCGCCGCCCACCGGCUCCCCCAUUGUAUUGACUCCACAUUGCCCCCUGCUGGUGAAACAAGUGCGAAGGUCAGCGUCUUUAGCUCCCUGCCUCUGAUGAAUACAGCUGCACCUUCACAAAGAGCACAGCUGUUCAUUGUGAUGGUUAAUGUUACGCGUCAACUGGACUAAGCUAAGGGAUACCCAGGUAGCUGAUAAACAUCAUUUCUGAGUGUGUCUGUGUGGUGUUCCAGAAGAGAUUAGCAUCAGAAGACUAAAGAAGAUCUGCCCUCACCAAUGCAGAGCAAGUUUGCCAACCUGUAUCUUAAUUCAUCUUUGUGGCCAGAGAAGUGGAUUUACUGAUUUGUUUCAGCUGAUCAAUGUCUAUAACAAGCAAUGUUGAUGGGCUGAAAACCACACAGACUACCAGAGGGGUUGCUUUUCCGAAGAAUCAUGUAAGGAUAAAAGAGAAAGAAAGAGAGAAAGACCUUGGAACCCAACUAGUAUCUACCAAAUAGACAGGAUCUCACUGUGUUGCCCAGGCUGGUCGCCAACUCCUGGCCUCAAGUGUUCCUCUGGCCCUGGCCUCCCAAAGCACUGGGAUUACAGGGGCAGCUCUUCCCUGGUUCCCUGCAGACCCCAGGUCAGGCCAGAAAACACCUCUAUGGCCCUUCCCUGUGUCCCACCACCAGAUAGGACCUCAAAGGCCUGGGGUCCCCAGGAUGGCCCUCAAACCGACUGGUGCCCUUGCAGGCUGCCACCCUCCAAGUCCUGCUUCUCUCCAGAGAUGGGCAGAAGCACCAGCCCUCGCCUGGCACCAGCAGUGAGUCUCAUAAUUGCCAUUUACCAUUUUGCUAGGGGGGCUUCUGGGGGUCCUAGGAAAAGCAGCAGAUGCCUGGGUGCUUGGGGACCUGGGCAUUCUGAGGGAAGGAGCAGCGUGACCCUGAGUCAUUUUUCACUGGGGACAAGUGAGCCAACUCCUUCUACCCAGUGAUAAAAUCAGAAGGAAGUAGAUGGAGACAGCACUGUUCAGGGGAUGAUUUGGGGAUGAGAAGAACUGGCAGGAAGUUGGAGAUUUGGGGGUGAGAAGAACCAGCAGGAAGUUGGGGAUUUCUUGUUUCCCCACUUUUCCCUUCCAUUUCUGUUUGAGCCUUAGGUUUGGCCUCCAUCUCCCUCUGUAGAAAUUGCAGCUAGUUAGAUAGUCUGCCUCUUAUUCCAGCUCUACUGGGGGAACAUAAUAUGGUCUAAGAAGAAAUUUUUCCAGCAAGAGGCCAUCUCUGCAAAUCACCUGUGAGGCAGACCUGUGGCAAUUUUAUGACUCAGCUGGCCACCAGGAAGCGAUUGUAGCUGGGUUCUGCCCCUUAUUGAAACCUACUCAAUGUUCUCCUUCACUAAGUAGGACAAGACCGUACCCUGCCUUUAAGGUUUAUAGAAUAGAAAGUGAAAACACUUUGGGGAAGAAAAUCUUCCUGAACAGAUAGCCCAGGGCAUUUUGAAAAUCCCUUAGGAAGUUCUCUGUUUCACUUGGGUACCUCUGUCCCUGGACUUUGGCGAUGUGGUUUGACCCCAGCCAGAGAGUGCAGGGAACAACAGCAAAAGGCAGGACAAAGACUGACUCGUGAGAGGAGGCCCAGGAACAGGGGGGCAUCGUGAGAGAGGAGGACGUGAGGGCCCAAGAGUGUGAGCAGAAGAGGAUAGGACUUGGGCACUCAGUCACCAGCUGUGGGGUCUGAGCUGUGUCCCCUUCUCUAAAGAGGUAAGCCCUGAGUCAUGGGAAGAUGGAAACCGGGGCUCAUGAGACAGGAUGUUUUUUAAGCACCGUGGUGUCUUGUUGACUUGCACAUGCAAGGGGGUCUUGGGUAACCACAGGGCUCAGGGUAUUUGCAGGAACAGUUCAAGUGCUCACUUGUCUUGGGGCUGUUUGUGGGGAAGUGGUUUCCACAGCAACAGGAGGUGAGAUAUUGGUGUUACCCCAGACCACACUUAGCUACUUCCUUCUCACUAAAGCUCUGUAGUCAUAUUUUCCCUGGCAGAGCAGAAACUUCUCUGUUAUCCCACAGCUGUUCUAACGGUGUAGACUUGACUUAUGCAAUGAUGCCAGGAGUCCUGAGCAGCACAGCCCAACUUCAAUCACACACAGAUGGACAGAGCUGUAUUAGCAAAGCCUGAGCUACUGAGCGAUGAGAGUACAGCCAGGCUUUCAGACAUCUGUUCAUUCAAGAGAGAUAUGCGCUAAGCCAAGGACCUAAAGAUGUGUUUAAUAUGGGUGCUAAUAUGCAUAAGGAACCUUGAAAUAAAUGUUCUUAGCCUUUGGCCAAGAGGGUCCAUGUCUAGGAAUCUAUUCUCCAUAGAAAUAAAUUCAAAUAUGGAAAAAAUGAACAAUGCAUAAGUGUAUUUGGUCCCCAGCAUAUUUAUAGCAACUUAAAAUUGGACCCAAUUUAAAUUGCCUAUGAUAUGGAAAUGGCUAAGAAAAUUAUGGGAUCUUCCCUUGAUUGGCUAUUAGGCAGCCUUUACAAACAAUGCAGUGACAUGAGAAAUGCUUAUGUUAUGGUAAGCUUAAAAAACUCAAGAUGCAAAUCAGCUUAUUUUAAUCAGGAGCCACCUAGCAUUUGGGAUGUGGUCAAUCCCACAUAAUGUAUUUUUGUGGGUGCAGUUCCCAGGAAAGAGGAGGAAUAAAAACGGCAAGUAUGAAGUGUCUCCUUCGCUUGCAGUCUCCUUGUCUACCCCUUUGUCCAUCCACUAUGAAAGGACUCCCUUCUGUUCCUUAAUAUGGACAAUUUCUAUUGAGGACUCAUUGUUCUAAGAAUUGUCUCAUCUCCUCCUGCAUCCUCAGUGCCCGAUCUUUGGCUUCUAUGAAGGAAGGUGGGUAGUGCUUAUGGCAGGGCCAGUUCUACCUUUCUCAGUAUGUUCUGGAGUGGGUAUGUAGCCCCAUUUUCUAGUGGUUACCUUGACAUCAUGAAGAGUUUAUGUCUCUUUUGCCCUAGAUUUGGGCAAUAGUCAUUCAUUGGGCAACUGGAAAUAACACAAGUCAGCAUCUCAUUAAAAAUAAAGUCAUUCAGGAAAGUGGACGACUAAUAGUUUCUAAUCUAGAGAGCAUAGGAGAAGAAAUGUUUACCACACACAAAGUAUUAGUGCCUUUUAUAUCAUCAAGACAAAAAUAACAGGAAAAAGACAAACACAUUAUAGUGAAAACUUGUUUUUCCUGACCAGCAUCUAUUCUGCAUGUUCCCUGAUGCCAGAAACUCACAUUUCUUCAGGGCAAACCCCCUUCCCCACCAUUCUCAGGCUUUAAGUUUAUGUAAAAUUCAGUAAACCCAAAGAUUCAAGUUAUGUGCCUUGAUUAACUUAAGCAAAUCAAUGAAACCCAUCCCCAUAACCACAGCGACUGGUUAGGAAUUCGGUUCCUAAGUCAGUCAAAUCCAAAAGGGCCUAGUGAUGUUUUUUCCAAUGGGAACACAGACUCACUCUUCCCUGCAGAAAAUGAACAAGGAUUCAUGUACACUGGCAGGUACUGGCAGCCACCCAGGGCCUCUCACAGGAAAGGGAGAUCAGAAAGAGAAGCAAAGAGGACUCAUGAGAUACCACAGGGCCGCUGCGUCCAGCCUUGCCUGGAGCUAGGGCCACCUCGAUGCCCUAUAGUCUUGGAGCCACAAGGUGCAUUUACUCAAAGCCUCUUUGAGUUUGGUUUGCUUGUUUGCUUUCUGCCUGGAAACUGCCAGCAUCCUGAGAGAUACGAGAUCUGCAUCUGUGCAGAGACACAGGGUUUGUUAAAAGUCACAGGCCCUGACUGAAGUGUGGAACUGGCUGAAAUGAGAAAGUAGGAGGUAAUUUGGUGAGGACCUUGUGAAAUGGAAGUGAGUUUUAAACCUUACAUGCAUCAGAAUUACCUGGAGCCUUGUGAAAACACAGGUUGCUGGGCCCUAGUCUAUUAAGAAAGGAAGUGGGGCUCAGAAUAUGCCUUUCUCCCAAGUUCCCAGGUGAUAUUCACCAUGCUGUCCUGUCUGGGCACUACCUUUUGCCAUACCCAUUACAAGGUAUUGCACGUGCUGGUUGAACUAUGGUCUGUCUUAUUUUGGUGCUAAAAGCCUGUGCCAAAUACCAAGGCUGCAGCAUUAAGGAAUUUGUUAGAAAAGAUUCUGAAUAUUGGAAUUUAGUUGCUGUGUAUUAUAUCAGUAAGGUCCUUUAAGAAAGAGUUUAGGCUACUUUGAAAUGGGCUCAUCUGAAAUUGAAAAAGAAGAAAUGCGACUUGCUAAAAAGGCCCUUCCAGCCUGUUGACUGAGAAUCCAGUAAUCUGAAGACUGAAAGGGCUGUAAAUGCAGGAUUUUCUACUCUAAGAUAAAGUUAGCAUGAGCAGAGACAGGAAGAUGAGAGACAUAAUGAGGCCAAGCGUCAAAUAUUCAUCACCUCCACAUGGGCCAAGAUGCAGGCAGAGGUCUCUCACCAGGGGCUGGGAGGUCGGGGUGACAAUGGUAGUGCAGUCUGUGCUAGAAAGUGCACAUCCCCAGCUGGGCGCAGUGGCUCACGCCUGUAAGCUCAGCACUUUGGGAGGCCAAUGCUGGCGGAUCAUGAGGUCAGGAGUUAGAGGCCAGCCUGGCCAACAUGGUGAAACCCUAUCUCUACUAAAAAUAUAAAAACUUAGCUGGGUGUGGUGGCGGGCACCUGUAAUUCAGCUACUUGGGAGGCUGAGGCAGGAGAAUCGCUUGAACCCGGAAGGCGGAGGUUACAGUGAGCCGCGAUCACGCCACUGCACUCUAGCCUGGGUGAUAGUGGGAGACUCCAUCUCAAAAAAAAAAAAAAAAAAAGAAAAAAGAAAAUGCACAUCCCCAACCCCAGUUAAAAUGCAAAUGCAAACUAUGUAACUGACAACCUGUCUGCUUCUGGCUACCUGGCCCAUGGAAUUGAUCAGAAGCAAAUAGUAGCCUACAGACAUUAGAAGGGAGUCACAUUGCCAAAGAAACCAUAAGACUGGUUCCAAAAAGUUGCUGAUUGCACAAUACCUAAGGCAACCUCAGGCUAACUCACACAGACAGGAAGUCAGCAGCCUCCAGAAAGCAGAUCCUCCACAUUGCACAUCUCAGAUUGUCCAUAGAGGACAUUCUCCCAGGGAGGAGAGCUAGGGACUGCCAGAUCAGCUGAACUGCUUAAAAAUGCAGUACCCAUUCUCCAGUUCCCUAUCAGGGGUCUUUGUUCAACUUACUGUUUGUUCAUAACACUUGUAUUUAGGGAAUGUUGGGCAUGAUUAAACUUCGUUUAGCUUUGGGUUUCUAGACCUUGAGAAACAAUUCAGUGCAGGCAAAUAUUGUAUGCCCCUAUAUUUUUUCCUGAAAGCCAAUAAAGAAGGAAUGAUGACACCUUCACUGCGUCUAUGGGGACAAAAGCUGCUUGUGUGUGUGUGUGUGUGUGUGUGUGUGUGUGUGUGCGUGUGUGUGUGUGAGAGAGAGAGAGAGAGAGAGAAACAGCCUUGUCAAAAAGACGUGUUUGUUGCUGUACCCUCAUUAUAUGAAAGCCAUCAUGGCAUCAAAACAGUAUAAGCCAGGUUGAGCUCUAUCCUCUCUGCAUCAACUCAGAAUCCCUACCAGAAAGUGGUUGUGAUGGAUGGAAUAUCACCCAUCAAAGAAUAGGGUAAGAUGAGACCAGAGAGGUAAGCUAUGCAAGCUAAUCAGAAAAUAACUCAAAGUUUUAAAAGUGCAGAAUAUAAAAAGGAAAAACCCUCAUUCCUAAAAAAAAAAAAAAGCCUCAUUUCCUCAAAGAAAUCAGUUAGCUAUUUGAUGUGUAUCUUUCCAAAUAUUUGCCUAUGUAAAUAUAUAUGUAUAUAUGGCAUUUAAAAAUAAAACAAAAUAAUAUACUUUACAGAUAGUUCCAUAGCAUAUGUAGAGAAUAUAUAUGCAUAUACUGAAUGUAAUUAGGUCUGCCUUUUACAUAUAAUAUUAUGGACACUUUCCACAGUUAUAGAUGUGUGCUACUUUUUUUUUACUGACUUCAGAAUAUUCCACUGAUGGACAUCUUAAUCCUCUACUGAUUAAUCCCCUACUGAUGACUGUUUGCAUUUCUUUGCUGUUUGCCAACCACACUGCAAAGAAUAUCCUCAUGUCUACAUAUCUUAUCUUUUGGCAGUGUUUCUAUGAAGCAGAUUCCUAGAAAUGGGAUCAGGUCAAAUGGGAUGUAGUUCACAUAGUAUAUGCAUUUUAAUAUUUGCUAAGUAGUAGUGUUUAUGCUUUAAAGAGUUGGAACACUACAAUUCUAAACAUGUUUGGACACAAAAAAUAGAUUAUUUGAAACAAAAUGAAAUAAGCAUAGCUCGUAAAAAUUAACACGUUUGGUUUUCACACAAAUAUUUUGAAUUUCUCUUUCUUCUGCAAAAAGGACCCUAGCUUAGUAUGGAUUUCUUGUACAGAUAAUGCAAACAAUCCAUCUAUUAAAUAACUUACCUUUCACAGUAAACCUAUAGACAGCAUCCUGCUCCACACAGAAGCUGAUUGUCUUUUCCUUCUCUAACAUUAGCUAUUUAUUUUGUAGAGUGUAGAUUCUAGAGAAAUAAUGUAUAAUACACCUGUUGCCAUAUGCAGAGACUUACCACAUUUAGAAAACAGUGGUGAAUUCUAUUGACAGUGGCUCUCAGUCAUUAACAUGCUAUGGAACACCUCAUGAGCUUGAUAAAAAUAUCAGUUCCCAGGUCUACACUUAAAGAUCCUAUUUAAGUGGCUUCAACAAUCACUGCUCAAACACUCUAUGUCAACUCAGAAUCCUGACAGGAAGUGGUUGCAAUGGAUAAAGUAUCAUCUGUUAAAGAAUGGGGUAAGAUUUGAGUAUAGGCGGGUCAUACUUUGGGAAAUAACUUGGUCAAUGGUUAACAGCAUAGUCUGUAGUUCAAUAAAAGUCCAGUUUUGGAACACAAUUGACCGUUUACGUGCUGUGUAACCUCAGCCAAGUUGUCUAACCUUUCUGAGCCCUGGGUUACUUUUCUGUCAAGUGGAGGUAUUAAUAGUACCUAAGCUGUACUAUUGCAUUGGUAAGAUUAAAUGAGCAAUGUAUAAAAAGCGCUCAGUAGGAGGAGUAAGCCUCAACAAUGUAAAUAAUUGCUAUUAAGAGCUUGAUUCAUCAUGAAUAUGCCCUACAGAAUACUAUGCUUAAUGGUGGCCAUUCGAGUAGUGAAUUCUCCUAGAGCAUGCAUGUUAUGAUUUGAGUUAUAACAUAUUCGUAGUUUCAAUGUUCCAGAACUGUGUCUCCGUUGUAAAGUGGAUAACUCUGUGGUAGCCCUCCCCAUCUCUCCCAAUUUCCCUCCAUUUCACCUCUUCCUAAUCUUUGCCUAUGAUUCCUCUUAACCAGUGAUUUUGAUUUGCCAGAAAAACAAAACCAAACUCAAUACUGGUUUACCUUUUAAAAGAG
This 9331-nucleotide long non-coding RNA is filed under the name Homo sapiens (human). Its description in RNAcentral is "HSALNT0389500". The record is from RNAcentral. Lineage: Eukaryota; Metazoa; Chordata; Mammalia; Primates; Hominidae.